GCCAGGUGUGGUGGCUCACACCUGUAAUCCCAGCAUUUUGGGAGGCCGAGGCGGGUGGAUCACCUGAGGUCAGGAAUUCAUGACCAGCCUGGCCAACAUGGUGAAACCCCGUCUCUA
This is a non-coding RNA of Homo sapiens (human), 117 nucleotides long. It matches the Rfam family "Metazoan signal recognition particle RNA". Rfam says of the family: The signal recognition particle (SRP) is a universally conserved ribonucleoprotein. It is involved in the co-translational targeting of proteins to membranes. The record is from Rfam. Lineage: Eukaryota; Metazoa; Chordata; Mammalia; Primates; Hominidae.